CUCGCACGAAAGGAAGCAGAAGCCGGAUCAAAAGGUUUGUUGAAAACUGAAAGCAAAGACCCGAUUUCCAUUCAGGCAAACAACCUCUGGACCUGAUCUAACGCCAAGUACACCUGUCUCCUAGUCUUCAAACUUGUUUUGUAACUCUAGCUGGACAAUGUGGACAAAGGAACUGGAGAUCUCACUGUUACGAUCAGUGCAGUGACUCUUACAGGGGUCAAACACCCUUACAUCGCUCCAUCCUGCUUUGGCCGUGGUAUGCCUUCCAGCUGGAAAAGAGAUGCAACGAACCGAACUGUUUCAACAGUGUUGCACGAGAACGAAGGUUACAGGAAGAGUCUGUCGUUCUUGGGAAUAAGACGAAACAAGUUAGAAAACAUUGACUUGAGAUCGCACAGGAAAGAAAUGCUUGUCCACUUUUGUCUUAAGUUUGAGAUGGAAGUUUCUUCUGCGUCUGGAAAUAUAUAUCACUUGGCUAACUGCAACGACGGAGUCUGUACGCAUUCUGUGUCCGAAACUAGUAAAUUGCAAUUAUACUGACUAUUACAAUUUGAUUUCAUUUUUUACUUGUUUGCAGCUUAACCCUCUGACAUAUUUUGCAUUUUGAUUUGAUGUUUUGAGUGCUCUAAAUAUUGACAUGACUUGAAUGUAUGUUUGUGACUCUAUAUACUAGUAUGUACCUCUUUUAGUUUGCUCUUUUGCUAUGUUACUCUUUGUAUGAAAAUGUAAUUGUUUGAACACA
This is a long non-coding RNA of Corticium candelabrum, 742 nucleotides long. RefSeq lists it as uncharacterized. The record is from RefSeq and is a predicted model, not a curated record. Lineage: Eukaryota; Metazoa; Porifera; Homoscleromorpha; Homosclerophorida; Plakinidae. The transcript has 2 exons.